ACCCUUUAAUGUUUGAUGUUCUAACGUGGACCCGUGAUCCGGGUUGCGGACAGUGUCUGGUGGGUAGUUUGACUGGGGCGGUCUCCUCCUAAAGAGUAACGGAGGAGCACGAAGGUUGGCUAAUCCUGGUCGGACAUCAGGAGGUUAGUGCAAUGGCAUAAGCCAGCUUGACUGCGAGCGUGACGGCGCGAGCAGGUGCGAAAGCAGGUCAUAGUGAUCCGGUGGUUCUGAAUGGAAGGGCCAUCGCUCAACGGAUAAAAGGUACUCCGGGGAUAACAGGCUGAUACCGCCCAAGAGUUCAUAUCGACGGCGGUGUUUGGCACCUCGAUGUCGGCUCAUCACAUCCUGGGGCUGAAGUAGGUCCCAAGGGUAUGGCUGUUCGCCAUUUAAAGUGGUACGCGAGCUGGGUUUAGAACGUCGUGAGACAGUUCGGUCCCUAUCUGCCGUGGGCGCUGGAGAACUGAGGGGGGCUGCUCCUAGUACGAGAGGACCGGAGUGGACGCAUCACUGGUGUUCGGGUUGUCAUGCCAAUGGCACUGCCCGGUAGCUAAAUGCGGAAGAGAUAAGUGCUGAAAGCAUCUAAGCACGAAACUUGCCCCGAGAUGAGUUCUCCCUGAGACUUUAGGUCUCCUGAAGGAACGUUGAAGACGACGACGUUGAUAGGCCGGGUGUGUAAGCGCAGCGAUGCGUUGAGCUAACCGGUACUAAUGAACCGUGAGGCUUAACCUUACAACGCCG
Molecule: ribosomal RNA, 738 nt
Filed under: Salmonella enterica subsp. enterica serovar Telhashomer
Lineage: Bacteria; Pseudomonadati; Pseudomonadota; Gammaproteobacteria; Enterobacterales; Enterobacteriaceae
Description: partial 23S ribosomal RNA
Rfam family: Bacterial large subunit ribosomal RNA
Source: RNAcentral